This 113-nucleotide ribosomal RNA is filed under the name Morganella morganii. The record is from RNAcentral. Lineage: Bacteria; Pseudomonadati; Pseudomonadota; Gammaproteobacteria; Enterobacterales; Morganellaceae.
GGCGGCCGUAGCGCGGUGGUCCCACCUGACCCCAUGCCGAACUCAGAAGUGAAACGCCGUAGCGCCGAUGGUAGUGUGGGGUCUCCCCAUGUGAGAGUAGGGAACCGCCAGGU